UUGCUGUUAAUCAGCCUAACACAUGUCAGUCGAGCGGAUAGAAGAGCUUGCUCUUCGAUUCAGCGGCGGACGUGGUGAGUAAUGCCUAGGAAUCUGCCUGGUAGUGGGUGUGACACGUUCGAAAGUGAACGCUAAUACCUGCAUACGUCCUACGUGGAGAAAUGCAGUGGUGACCUUCGUGGCCUUGCGCUAUCAGAUGAGCCUAGGUCGGAUUAGCUAGUUGGUGAGUGUAAUGGCUCACCAANGCGACGAUCCGUAACUGGUCUGAGAGUGAUGAUCAGUCACACUGGAACUGAGACACGGUCCAGACUCCUACGUGGAGGCAGCAGUGGGGAAUAUUGGACAAUGGGCGAAAGCCUGAUCCAGCCAUGCCGCGUGUGUAGAAGAAGGUCCUCGGAUUGUAAAGCACUUUAAGUUGGGAGGAAGGGUUGUACGUUAAUACCGUGCAAUUUUGACGUUACCGACUGAAUAAGCACCGGCUAACUCUGUGCCAGCAGCCGCGGUAUACAGAGGGUGCAAGCGUUAAUCGGAAUUACUGGGCGUAAAGCGCGCGUAGGUGGUUCGAUAAGUUGGAUGUGAAAUCCCGGGCUCAACCUGGUGAAACUUGCAUCCAAACUUGGCGAAGCUAGAGUAUGG
RNAcentral lists this ribosomal RNA (636 nucleotides) under uncultured bacterium. Its description in RNAcentral is "bacterial SSU rRNA". It matches the Rfam family "Bacterial small subunit ribosomal RNA", at positions 33 to 651 of the family's 1533-position model. The record is from RNAcentral.